UGGGGAAUCUUGCACAAUGGGGGCAACCCUGAUGCAGCGACGCCGCGUGUGGGAGGAAGGCCUUCGGGUUGUAAACCACUGUCGGGCGGGACGAGCCGGGGGUCGUCCAAGAGGCGGCUCCUCCGACGGUACCGCCCAUAGGAAGCUCCGGCUAACUCCGUGCCAGCAGCCGCGGUAAAACGGAGGGAGCAAGCGUUGUCCGGAAUUACUGGGCGUACAGAGCGCGCAGGCGGCCAGGUCAGUCGUAUGUGAAAGGCCCGGGCUCAACCCGGGCAUGCCAUGCGAUACUGCCUGGCUCGAGGCCGGCAGGGGCCAGUGGAAUUCCCGGUGUAGCGGUGGAAUGCGUAGAUAUCGGGAGGAACACCAGCGGCGAAGGCGACUGGCUGGGCCGGACCUGACGCUGCAGCGCGAAAGCGUGGGGAUCAAACAGGAUUAGAUACCCCCGUAGUCC
RNAcentral lists this ribosomal RNA (451 nucleotides) under uncultured prokaryote. RNAcentral describes it as "bacterial SSU rRNA". It matches the Rfam family "Bacterial small subunit ribosomal RNA", at positions 355 to 796 of the family's 1533-position model. The record is from RNAcentral.